Non-coding RNA from Pantherophis guttatus, 445 nucleotides. Lineage: Eukaryota; Metazoa; Chordata; Lepidosauria; Squamata; Colubridae. The record is from RefSeq and is a predicted model, not a curated record.
GAGCAAGAAUCGUGCAAGAGUCUGGUCUAACAGAAACCAACUAGCCCAUAGUUUCUCAACGAGCUUUGGGCCUCAAAAUCCUUUUAAAAAACAGAAAGAAUUGAAGGAAGAUUACUUUGAAUGAUAUGUCACUUAGCUCUUCUCUACAUUUCUAUCUGUGUGGAUGGAACUGAACUUGAACUAUGGUACAUGAUAAGGAGGAAUUACAGCAGGUAUACAGAAGCUGAACUAUUUUAUCAGCUGAAUGAUACUUCCUUUAUUGUACAUCCAAAUCGAAGAGGUGCCUUCUCUAUGUUACACACAUAAAUCUAAAUAAGCAUGCCAAUGGUAGUUUUACCCAGGAUUUGUGGUCAUUGUCAGAACCAUGUGGGGACAGCAGAGUGCAGGAAGACAGAGAGAGGGUCGCCGAGGCUGCCUGUGAGGAAGCAGCCUCUCCCGGCCUCAC